GUCCCAAACUAGAAAACAGGGAGAAACAAGCUACAAAAUUCCCAAAGGAGGCCUCUUCAGCCUUGUCAUUUGCCCUCACUAUUUGUUUGAAAUAAUUGAGUUCUUUGGAUUUGCUUUCAUCUCUCAGGAACUCUAUCCUUUGUGCUUCAGUAUUGGCACCAGUAUUUAUUUGGCUGGGAGGAGCUAUGCCACUAGGAAAUGGUACAUCUCCAAAUUUGAGAACUUCCCCAACCAUGUCAAAGCCCUGCUCCCUUUUGUCUUUUAGACCUUUUUUUUUUGGGUCCUUUCAUAAAGUUGCUUUUGUUAUAAUUUACCCAAUUAAGUUAGGCCCAUUCUAGUGUUUUAGGCCUUCCUUAGCUUCGCU
Molecule: unclassified non-coding RNA, 364 nt
Filed under: Hevea brasiliensis (rubber tree)
Lineage: Eukaryota; Viridiplantae; Streptophyta; Magnoliopsida; Malpighiales; Euphorbiaceae
Source: RNAcentral